This 253-nucleotide ribosomal RNA is filed under the name uncultured bacterium. RNAcentral describes it as "partial 16S ribosomal RNA". It matches the Rfam family "Bacterial small subunit ribosomal RNA", at positions 524 to 776 of the family's 1533-position model. The record is from RNAcentral.
UACGUAGGGGGCAAGCGUUAUCCGGAUUUACUGGGUGUAAAGGGAGCGUAGACGGCAAUACAAGUCGGAAGUGAAAUACCCGGGCUUAACCUGGGAACUGCUUUGGAAACUGUAUGGCUGGAGUGCAGGAGAGGUAAGCGGAAUUCCUAGUGUAGCGGUGAAAUGCGUAGAUAUUAGGAGGAACACCAGUGGCGAAGGCGGCUUACUGGACAGUAACUGACGUUGAGGCUCGAAAGCGUGGGGAGCAAACAGG